CAGUCGCCACGGUAAUACGUAGGUGGCAAGCGUUGUCCGGAAUUAUUGGGCGUAAAGCGCGCGCAGGUGGUUUAAUAAGUCUGAUGUGAAAGCCCACGGCUCAACCGUGGAGGGUCAUUGGAAACUGUUAAACUUGAGUGCAGGAGAGAAAAGUGGAAUUCCUAGUGUAGCGGUGAAAUGCGUAGAGAUAGGAGGAACACCAGUGGCGAAGGCGGCUUUUUGGCCUGUAACUGACACUGAGGCGCGAAAGCGUGGGGAGCAAACAGGAUUAGAUACCCCUGUAGUCCCUGUCUCUUAUACA
This 301-nucleotide ribosomal RNA is filed under the name uncultured bacterium. RNAcentral's name for it is "partial 16S ribosomal RNA". It matches the Rfam family "Bacterial small subunit ribosomal RNA", at positions 509 to 808 of the family's 1533-position model. The record is from RNAcentral.